RNAcentral lists this ribosomal RNA (265 nucleotides) under uncultured bacterium. RNAcentral's name for it is "partial 16S ribosomal RNA". It matches the Rfam family "Bacterial small subunit ribosomal RNA", at positions 109 to 353 of the family's 1533-position model. The record is from RNAcentral.
AGUAACACGUAAACAACCUGCCUUCAGGAUGGGGACGAACAGACGGAAACGACUGCUAAUACCGAAUAAGUUCCAAGAGCCGCAUGGCCCAUGGAAGAAAAGGUGGCCUCUACCUGUAAGCUAUCGCCUGAAGAGGGGUUUGCGUCUGAUUAGCUGGUUGGAGGGGUAACGGGCCCACCAAGGCGACGAUCAGUAGCCGGACUGAGAGGUUGAACGGCCACAUUGGGACUGAGACACGGCCCAGACUCCUACGGGAGGCAGCAUG